Tribolium castaneum (red flour beetle) is the source of this 112-nucleotide non-coding RNA. NCBI's taxonomy places the organism in Eukaryota, Metazoa, Arthropoda, Insecta, Coleoptera, Tenebrionidae. The record is from RefSeq and is marked provisional.
UUUAAGAGGGUUUUAACCAAUUUUUCAGUCUCAUAUUCGCACUUGACAUAUUUUGGAUUAAAUAAAAUAUGUACACGUGUGGAUAUGGGGCCGAAGUUGGUACAGUCAACGG